UGUGUGCUGAAUCCAUAGGCACACAAGGCGAACCUGGGGAACUGAAACAUCUAAGUACCCAGAGGAAAAGAAAUCAACCGAGAUUCCGUCAGUAGCGGCGAGCGAAAGCGGAACAGCCCAGUUACUAAAUCAUUAUUGGCUUUAGCAGAAUGUUCUGGAAAGUUCAGCCAUAGUGGGUGAUAGCCCCGUAUGUAAAAGAGUUAAUAAUGUGGGUAACGAUGAGUAGGUCGGGACACGUGAAAUCUUGACUGAAUAUGGGGGGACCAUCCUCCAAGGCUAAAUACUCCUUACUGACCGAUAGCGAACUAGUACCGUGAGGGAAAGGUGAAAAGAACCCCGGCCAGGGGAGUGAGAUAGAACCUGAAACCGUAUGCGUACAAGCAGUCAGAG
RNAcentral lists this ribosomal RNA (390 nucleotides) under Coxiella endosymbiont of Ornithodoros erraticus. RNAcentral describes it as "bacterial LSU rRNA". It matches the Rfam family "Bacterial large subunit ribosomal RNA", at positions 152 to 579 of the family's 2925-position model. The record is from RNAcentral. Lineage: Bacteria; Pseudomonadati; Pseudomonadota; Gammaproteobacteria; Legionellales; Coxiellaceae.